RNAcentral lists this ribosomal RNA (334 nucleotides) under uncultured bacterium. RNAcentral's name for it is "bacterial SSU rRNA". It matches the Rfam family "Archaeal small subunit ribosomal RNA", at positions 518 to 853 of the family's 1478-position model. The record is from RNAcentral.
UCCGUAGCUGGCCUUCCAAGUCUUUCGUUAAAUCCAGCGAUCAAUCGUUGGACUGCGGGAGAUACUGUUAGGCUAGGGGGCGGGAGAAGCCGACGGUAUUCUUGGGGUAGGGGUAAAAUCCUAUAAUCCCAGGAAGACCACCAGUGGCGUAGGCGGUCGGCUAGCACGCGCUCGACGGUGAGGGACGAAAGCUGGGGGAGCGAACCGGAUUAGAUACCCGGGUAGUCCCAGCUGUAAACGAUGCGGGCUAGGUGUUGGAGCGGCUACGAGCCGCUUCAGUGCCGCAGGGAAGCCAUUAAGCCCGCCGCCUGGGGAGUACGGCCGCAAGGCUGAA